Sciurus carolinensis (gray squirrel) is the source of this 425-nucleotide long non-coding RNA. RefSeq lists it as uncharacterized. NCBI's taxonomy places the organism in Eukaryota, Metazoa, Chordata, Mammalia, Rodentia, Sciuridae. The record is from RefSeq and is a predicted model, not a curated record. The transcript has 4 exons.
CAGCACUCAGCGAGGCCCCUGCUCUUCCUAACUCGCUUUCCUCCCCGCCUCAGUUUCGUUCUUCCCAGCUUACUUUUAAUUCUUCACAGGUGGAGAGCAUGACCUCAUGUCUGGUUUAGGAUCCUAGAAACGAUGAGGAAACUGAAGUUUUCAGAGUCCUGAGAUGCCUCACAGCUAACAGAAACAGAUGAGGGUUUGUCCACUUGCCUGUCGGGUCUAUAUGCUCCCUGGUUUUUCCUGCUGGAGUCAUGCAAAGGCAACAGACAGAGGGUGUAGACGACAAGUUUGUGGGACAUCACUCAUGGACCCCAGUUCUGGAAUGAUCAGACAUGAUUUCCCAUUGCUUCCAGAAGAAAACAUCUGCGUGGCAUUUGGGCUGCUCGCCACGCCUGAAGAUUCUCCCUGAUUUUAUCCCAAAUGCCUUA